GGAAGGAUGGCAGAGCGGUUGAAUGCACCGGUCUUGAAAACCGGCGGGGCGCAAGUCCUCGGGGGUUCGAAUCCCCCUCCUUCCGCCA
Molecule: transfer RNA, 88 nt
Filed under: Chthonomonas sp.
Lineage: Bacteria; Bacillati; Armatimonadota; Chthonomonadia; Chthonomonadales; Chthonomonadaceae
Description: tRNA-Ser
Rfam family: tRNA
About the family: Transfer RNA (tRNA) molecules are approximately 80 nucleotides in length. Their secondary structure includes four short double-helical elements and three loops (D, anti-codon, and T loops). Further hydrogen bonds mediate the characteristic L-shaped molecular structure. tRNAs have two regions of fundamental functional importance: the anti-codon, which is responsible for specific mRNA codon recognition, and the 3' end, to which the tRNAs corresponding amino acid is attached (by aminoacyl-tRNA synthetases). tRNAs cope with the degeneracy of the genetic code in two manners: having more than one tRNA (with a specific anti-codon) for a particular amino acid; and 'wobble' base-pairing, i.e. permitting non-standard base-pairing at the 3rd anti-codon position.
Source: RNAcentral